UGUUGGUGCGAGCUCUCUGGC
Molecule: unclassified non-coding RNA, 21 nt
Filed under: Chlamydomonas reinhardtii
Lineage: Eukaryota; Viridiplantae; Chlorophyta; Chlorophyceae; Chlamydomonadales; Chlamydomonadaceae
Description: small RNA Cre_3677
Source: RNAcentral